CCUACGGGAGGCAGCAGUAGGGAAUAUUGCACAAUGGGGGAAACCCUGAAGCAGCAACGCCGCGUGGGGGAAGAAGGUUUUCGUGUUGUAAACCCCUUUUGUUAGAGAAGAUAAUGACGGUAUCUGACGAAUAAGCACCGGCUAACUACGUGCCAGCAGCCGCGGUAAUACGGAGGGUGCAAGCGUUACUCGGAUUCACUGGGCGUAAAGAGCGCGUAGGCGGGAUAGCAAGUCAGAUGUGAAAUCCUAUGGCUUAACCAUAGAACUGCAUUUGAAACUGUUAUUCUAGAGUAUGGGAGAGGUAGGUGGAAUUCUUGGUGUAGGGGUAAAAUCCGUAGAGAUCAAGAGGAAUACUCAUGGCGAAGGCGACCUGCUAGAACAUAACUGACGCUGAGGCGCGAAAGCGUGGGGAGCAAACAGGAUUAGAUACCCCGGUAGUC
Molecule: ribosomal RNA, 440 nt
Filed under: uncultured bacterium
Lineage: Bacteria
Description: partial 16S ribosomal RNA
Rfam family: Bacterial small subunit ribosomal RNA
Source: RNAcentral